AAUAAGAUCAUUUUUCAGUUUUUUAUACAAUAUUUUGACUCUUCGUCUUAUUUAAAAUUUUUUGCGAUUAAUAUUUUUAUUCUUACUAGAUAAUAAAACAUGAAUAAUACUUUAUGUGUGACUAUUUUUUAAAUUUUUAUACAAAUUUUUCAAAUAAGACGAAUGGUCAAACGUUGAACACGGAAAAACGAAAAAUGAAGUUAUU
Oryza brachyantha (malo sina) is the source of this 205-nucleotide non-coding RNA. NCBI's taxonomy places the organism in Eukaryota, Viridiplantae, Streptophyta, Magnoliopsida, Poales, Poaceae. The record is from Rfam.